GAUCAUGGCUCAGGAUAAACGCUGGCGGCGCACAUAAGACAUGCAAGUCGAACGGACUUAACUCAUUCUUUUUAGAUUGAGAGCGGUUAGUGGCGGACUGGUGAGUAACACGUAAGCAACCUGCCUAUCAGAGGGGGAAUAACAGUGAGAAAUCAUUGCUAAUACCGCAUAAGCUAGUAGCAUCGCAUGAUUUUUUGAUGAAAGGAGCAAUCCGCUGAGAGAUGGACUCGCGUCUGAUUAGCUAGAUGGUGGGGUAACGGCCUACCAUGGCGACGAUCAGUAGCCGGACUGAGAGGUUGAACGGCCACAUUGGGACUGAGACACGGCCCAGACUCCUACGGGAGGCAGCAGUGGGGGAUAUUGCGCAAUGGGGGAAACCCUGACGCAGCAAUGCCGCGUGAAGGAAGAAGGUUUUCGGAUUGUAAACUUCUUUUGUUAAGGACGAAGAAUGACGGUACUUAACGAAUAAGCUCCGGCUAACUAUGUG
RNAcentral lists this ribosomal RNA (487 nucleotides) under uncultured bacterium. RNAcentral describes it as "bacterial SSU rRNA". It matches the Rfam family "Bacterial small subunit ribosomal RNA", at positions 15 to 507 of the family's 1533-position model. The record is from RNAcentral.